Molecule: ribosomal RNA, 258 nt
Filed under: uncultured bacterium
Lineage: Bacteria
Description: partial 16S ribosomal RNA
Rfam family: Bacterial small subunit ribosomal RNA
Source: RNAcentral
CUUGCUUUCUUUGCUGGCGACCGGCGCACGGGUGGGUAACACGUAUCCAACCUGCCCUUUACUCGGGGAUAGCCUUUCGAAAGAAAGAUUAAUACCCGAUGGCAUAAUGAUUCCGCAUGGUUUCAUUAUUAAAGGAUUCCGGUAAAGGAUGGGGAUGCGUUCCAUUAGGUUGUUGGUGAGGUAACGGCCCACCAAGCCUUCGAUGGAUAGGGGUUCUGAGAGGAAGGUCCCCCACAUUGGAACUGAGACACGGUCCAA